UCGAGAAUCUUCCGCAAUGGGCGAAAGCCUGACGGAGCGACGCCGCGUGCAGGAUGAAGGCUCUUGGGUCGUAAACUGCUUUUAUUGAGGAGGAAGUUUUGACGUUACUCAAUGAAUAAGAGGCUCCUAAUCCCGUGCCAGCAGGAGCGGUCAUACGGAAGCCUCAAGCAUUAUCCGGAAUCACUGGGCGUAAAGGGUGCGUAGGCGGUUAUGUUAGUCUUCUGUGAAAGCCCGGGGCUCAACCUCGGAUCCGCGGAGGAUACGGCAUAACUUGAGGGUGAGAGAGGUGUGCGGAACUCAUGGUGUAGGGGUGAAAUCCGUUGAUAUCAUGGGGAACACCGAAAUGCGAAGGCAGCACACUGGCUCACUCCUGACGCUGAGGCACGAAAGCGUAGGGUAGCGAAUGGGAUUAGAUACCCCAGUAGUCCACGCCCUAAACGAUGUCCGCUAGCUUUGGGGAGUAUCGACCCUCUCCGAGGCGAAGCUAA
Molecule: ribosomal RNA, 488 nt
Filed under: uncultured Parcubacteria group bacterium
Lineage: Bacteria
Description: bacterial SSU rRNA
Rfam family: Bacterial small subunit ribosomal RNA
Source: RNAcentral